GGACACUGACUACAAGCCAACUCAGAUUACACCAUCAUCCCGUGAUGAGGAAGAUUUGAAAAGCCGAGACAUAGCUUCAUCAUGUGAGAAACUGUCCAGUGAUGAAGAGCUCAAAGGUCCAGACAGUGAAGAUGAAGCUGAAAGUCAAACAUCGACUUCUGUGACUGUCCCACAGAGGGAAAGGAAACGCGACAGAGAGGUGGUUGAAGAUGGAGGUUCUGACCUCUUCUCCCCGAAAAACAGACAUGACCAGGGCAGUGAGGAUCGGGACUCAGAUAUAGAGGAUGGAGGUUCUGAACCCCGUGUGGAUUGGAGUUCAGAUAUAGAUGAUGAAAGCCCAGGACCAAACCUGGCUAAAAGACAGAAGAAAAGAAGAAAAAGAAGGCGGUGGUGAAAGAAAGAGAUGGAGAGGCUGACCACCUCUCCCCCCAAAAGACUCUUGAGCACUGCAGUGGGGAUGGGACUUCAGAUAUGGAUGAUCAAAGCCCAGGACUAAACCUGGCUAAAAGACAGAAGAAAAGAAGAAAAAAGAAGGCGGCGGUGAAAGAAAGAGAAGGACCCAAAGUACAGCUGAAGAGGCCAUGGAGUGAAGCAGAGAGGAUUGCUGUCUACAAACAGUUGGGAAAGUUUAUGGCAGAGCGGCGAUUUCCAGGUAAAGAGGACUGCGUCAAAUGCAUAACACAAGACAAAACCUUGGAACAAAGAUCCUGGAAGGAUGUUAAAAACUUUGUGUAUAACACAAUUGUGACUCUUAAUCGAAGAUCAGCGUCACGGAAACUUCAGGUCUGAAGACGUCAUUUUGCAUUGUAAUUCAAUGUUCUACUUUUAAUGUCGUUGGCAUGUUUGAACAUUGUUAGUUUUGGUGCCGUUUGGUUAACAGUGGUGGAAUGUAACUGCACAUAUGCUCAAGUACUGUACUUGCACUUUAAUUGAGUAUUUCCAUUUUUUUAUCUUUACUUAAGGUUUUGAAUACAGGACUUGUAGUGGAGUAUUUUCAAAGUGUGCUGUUAGUACUUUUUCUUAAGUAAAACGUCUUCCACCAUUGUUGGUUUGUGCACAUCCUGAGUUGUGUCUCAGUUAACAAAUCAAAUAAAUCUAGUUUUGUACACUGGAGAUGGCAUUCAUUGCAGCUUUAUUGGAAGUUGUAUGAUACUGAUGUUUAUUGCUAAAGUUUGGUUCACUUUGGUAAAGCAGUAAUUGUAUUUUAAAAGUACAUGUGUAUUUUUGUACAGCAGUCUAAUCAAUGGUCACAACAUUAAUUUUAGAACACUUCAAGACUGAUUUAGUAUUACAUUAUUUGUCUGUACUAAAACAUAAAAUGGUAGCAAGCUAAAGACAGAAGGGCCAUUCUAUAUACGAAAAACUAAUCUAUUCUGAAACGAACCCAAUAGCGCCCCCAUGAAAAGGUCCUCGCUCCAGUGGUAAAAUGCUUUAAAAAAUUAUUUGUCUGUUUAAAGAAGCUGAGGUGGAAACUGGAGUCAGGGAGCCACCUAGUGCUGAAAUGCAGCAUUCAUUUGUCUCUAAGUAUAGCAGAAAGGGUGGUCCUCACCUCCUAUGUGAAUUUAUUUGGACCUCACUUCGGUGCAUAUACAGGAAUGUGUGUGUGUGUGUGUGUGUGUGUGUGUGAGAGUGUGUGUGU
Long non-coding RNA from Siniperca chuatsi (mandarin fish), 1639 nucleotides. RefSeq lists it as uncharacterized. The record is from RefSeq and is a predicted model, not a curated record. The transcript is spliced from 8 exons. NCBI's taxonomy places the organism in Eukaryota, Metazoa, Chordata, Actinopteri, Centrarchiformes, Sinipercidae.